AAAUUGAAGAGUUUGAUCAUGGCUCAGAUUGAACGCUGGCGGCAGGCCUAACACAUGCAAGUCGAACGGUAACAGGAAGCAGCUUGCUGCUUUGCUGACGAGUGGCGGACGGGUGAGUAAUGUCUGGGAAACUGCCUGAUGGAGGGGGAUAACUACUGGAAACGGUGGCUAAUACCGCAUAACGUCGCAAGACCAAAGAGGGGGACCUUCGGGCCUCUUGCCAUCAGAUGUGCCCAGAUGGGAUUAGCUUGUUGGUGAGGUAACGGCUCACCAAGGCGACGAUCCCUAGCUGGUCUGAGAGGAUGACCAGCCACACUGGAACUGAGACACGGUCCAGACUCCUACGGGAGGCAGCAGUGGGGAAUAUUGCACAAUGGGCGCAAGCCUGAUGCAGCCAUGCCGCGUGUAUGAAGAAGGCCUUCGGGUUGUAAAGUACUUUCAGCGGGGAGGAAGGUGUUGCGGUUAAUAACCGCAGCAAUUGACGUUACCCGCAGAAGAAGCACCGGCUAACUCCGUGCCAGCAGCCGCGGUAAUACGGAGGGUGCAAGCGUUAAUCGGAAUUACUGGGCGUAAAGCGCACGCAGGCGGUCUGUCAAGUCGGAUGUGAAAUCCCCGGGCUCAACCUGGGAACUGCAUUCGAAACUGGCAGGCUUGAGUCUUGUAGAGGGGGGUAGAAUUCCAGGUGUAGCGGUGAAAUGCGUAGAGAUCUGGAGGAAUACCGGUGGCGAAGGCGGCCCCCUGGACAAAGACUGACGCUCAGGUGCGAAAGCGUGGGGAGCAAACAGGAUUAGAUACCCUGGUAGUCCACGCCGUAAACGAUGUCUACUUGGAGGUUGUGCCCUUGAGGCGUGGCUUCCGGAGCUAACGCGUUAAGUAGACCGCCUGGGGAGUACGGCCGCAAGGUUAAAACUCAAAUGAAUUGACGGGGGCCCGCACAAGCGGUGGAGCAUGUGGUUUAAUUCGAUGCAACGCGAAGAACCUUACCUGGUCUUGACAUCCACAGAAGAAUCCAGAGAUGGAUUGGUGCCUUCGGGAACUGUG
This 1041-nucleotide ribosomal RNA is filed under the name Salmonella enterica. RNAcentral's name for it is "bacterial SSU rRNA". It matches the Rfam family "Bacterial small subunit ribosomal RNA", at positions 1 to 1031 of the family's 1533-position model. Lineage: Bacteria; Pseudomonadati; Pseudomonadota; Gammaproteobacteria; Enterobacterales; Enterobacteriaceae. RNAcentral also lists the same sequence under 1 other name. The record is from RNAcentral.